GAUGAACGCUGGCGGCGUGCCUAAUACAUGCAAGUCGAGCGAACAGAUGAGGAGCUUGCUCCUCUGACGUUAGCGGCGGACGGGUGAGUAACACGUGGAUAACCUACCUAUAAGACUGGGAUAACUUCGGGAAACCGGAGCUAAUACCGGAUAAUAUAUUGAACCGCAUGGUUCAAUAGUGAAAGACGGUUUUGCUGUCACUUAUAGAUGGAUCCGCGCCGCAUUAGCUAGUUGGUAGGGUAACGGCUUACCAAGGCAACGAUGCGUAGCCGACCUGAGAGGGUGAUCGGCCACACUGGAACUGACACGGUCCAGACUCCUACGGGAGGCAGCAGUAGGGAAUCUUCCGCAAUGGGCGAAAGCCUGACGGAGCAACGCCGCGUGAGUGAUGAAGGUCUUCGGAUCGUAAAACUCUGUUAUUAGGGAAGAACAAAUGUGUAAGUAACUAUGCACGUCUUGACGGUACCUAAUCAGAAAGCCACGGCUAACUACGUG
Molecule: ribosomal RNA, 495 nt
Filed under: uncultured bacterium
Lineage: Bacteria
Description: partial 16S ribosomal RNA
Rfam family: Bacterial small subunit ribosomal RNA
Source: RNAcentral